Molecule: long non-coding RNA, 604 nt
Organism: Portunus trituberculatus (swimming crab)
Lineage: Eukaryota; Metazoa; Arthropoda; Malacostraca; Decapoda; Portunidae
Exons: 2
Source: RefSeq, a predicted model, not a curated record
UGUGUGUGUGUGUGUGUGUGUGUGUGUGUGUGUGUGUGUGUGUGUGUGUGUGUGUGUGUGUGUGUGUGUGUGUGUGUGUGUGUGUGUGUGUGUGUGUGUGUGUGCGUGCACGUGCACGUGCACUCAGACAUCACCAAGUCAGUUUGCUUGAUGUAUGUGCUGUUUGUUUCAUAUUUAUUGUUAAUUAUGAUGCAUUACUAGUGAUAAUUUACUGUAAGCACUUCUAUUAUUUAAUUUUUUUAAACACAUUGGUCACUGGUCUUUGAAAUAUCUUACAGGCUUCUCAUUUCAACCAGUUAAUUUCUGCUAACAUGUUUGAUACAUUAAUUCAUGAGAAGGCUGUAGAGUAUUUUUGAUGUGAAAUGGGGAGCAGAGAACCAAUACAUAAUCUAACAUACAAUAUUAAUGACUAUUUGUGUAAAUACUCAUUAGUGCAAAGAACAAGCCGUCAAUAUAUAUGUGUGCACGAAAGUGGCUGCAAGGAUUCUCUGUCAUUCCCACUGUGUUAGGCUAGAAAAACUAAGUAAAAAUAUUGAAUUAAAAUAAAUUAAUCAGACUUUUGUAAAUUCAUGUCUAAAUAUGUGAAUUAUAAUAUGAUGGAAGA